GUGCCAGCAGCCGCGGUAAUACGUAGGGUGCAAGCGUUAAUCGGAAUUACUGGGCGUAAAGCGUGCGCAGGCGGUGAUGUAAGAUAGGCGUGAAAUCCCCGGGCUCAACCUGGGAACUGCGUUUAUGACUGGCAGGCUAGAGUGUAGCAGAGGGGGGUAGAAUUCCACGUGUAGCAGUGAAAUGCGUAGAGAUGUGGAGGAAUACCAAUGGCGAAGGCAGCCCCCUGGGUUAACACUGACGCUCAUGCACGAAAGCGUGGGGAGCAAACAGGAUUAGAUACCCUGGUAGUCCACGCCCUAA
This 301-nucleotide ribosomal RNA is filed under the name uncultured bacterium. RNAcentral describes it as "bacterial SSU rRNA". It matches the Rfam family "Bacterial small subunit ribosomal RNA", at positions 505 to 805 of the family's 1533-position model. The record is from RNAcentral.